UACGGGGGGGGCAAGCGUUGUUCGGAAUUACUGGGCGUAAAGGGCUCGUAGGUGGCCAAUUAAGUCAGGCGUGAAAUCCCCAGGCUCAACUUGGGAACUGCGUCUGAUACUGGUUGGCUUGAAUUCGGGAGAGGGAUGCAGAAUUCCAGGUGUAGCGGUGAAAUGCGUAGAUAUCUGGAGGAAUACCGGUGGCGAAGGCGGCAUCCUGGACCGGCAUUGACGCUGAGGAGCGAAAGCCAGGGGAGCAAACGGG
Molecule: ribosomal RNA, 253 nt
Filed under: uncultured bacterium
Lineage: Bacteria
Description: partial 16S ribosomal RNA
Rfam family: Bacterial small subunit ribosomal RNA
Source: RNAcentral